This 329-nucleotide long non-coding RNA is filed under the name Elaeis guineensis (African oil palm). RNAcentral's name for it is "long non-coding RNA (EGUI_LNC033354)". Lineage: Eukaryota; Viridiplantae; Streptophyta; Magnoliopsida; Arecales; Arecaceae. The record is from RNAcentral.
ACACACACACACACACACACAUAUAUUUGCUACUGAGUAUGAACUAUUGGGCAUCAUCCUAAAUGUUGUUCAGAGGUUGGUGAGGAAAGAAAGAAACUUUUGAUCUCUGAUAAAGCUCUUUCUUUUGAUCUCUGAUAAAGCUUUCACACACACACACACAUGAGGUUUACUAAUCUUUAAUAAUCAAGUAUCAAUAUCCAGCUCAUAACUGCCUUCCAUUAAUUUUUUUUCUUUUAUUUCACACAUAUAUGAGGUUUACUAAUCUUUAAUAAUCAAGUAUCAAUAUCCAGCUCAUAACUGCCUUCCAUAAUUUUUUUUCUUUUAUUUCA